RNAcentral lists this ribosomal RNA (465 nucleotides) under uncultured bacterium. RNAcentral's name for it is "partial 16S ribosomal RNA". It matches the Rfam family "Bacterial small subunit ribosomal RNA", at positions 338 to 795 of the family's 1533-position model. The record is from RNAcentral.
CCUACGUGAGGCAGCAGUAGGGAAUCUUCCACAAUGGGCGAAAGCCUGAUGGAGCAACGCCGCGUGGGUGAAGAAGGUCUUCGGAUCGUAAAACCCUGUUGUUAGAGAAGAAAGUGCGUGAGAGUAACUGUUCACGUUUCGACGGUAUCUAACCAGAAAGCCACGGCUAACUACGUGCCAGCAGCCGCGGUAAUACGUAGGUGGCAAGCGUUAUCCGGAUUUAUUGGGCGUAAAGGGAACGCAGGCGGUCUUUUAAGUCUGAUGUGAAAGCCUUCGGCUUAACCGGAGUAGUGCAUUGGAAACUGGGAGACUUGAGUGCAGAAGAGGAGAGUGGAACUCCAUGUGUAGCGGUGAAAUGCGUAGAUAUUAGGAGGAACACCAGUGGCGAAGGCGAUUUGCUGGACUGUAACUGACACUGAGGCACGAAAGCGUGGGGAGCAAACAGGAUUAGAUACCCUUGUAGUC